This 467-nucleotide ribosomal RNA is filed under the name Prevotella melaninogenica. RNAcentral describes it as "bacterial SSU rRNA". It matches the Rfam family "Bacterial small subunit ribosomal RNA", at positions 28 to 482 of the family's 1533-position model. Lineage: Bacteria; Pseudomonadati; Bacteroidota; Bacteroidia; Bacteroidales; Prevotellaceae. The record is from RNAcentral.
GAUGAACGCUAGCUACAGGCUUAACACAUGCAAGUCGAGGGGAAACGGCAUUGAGUGCUUGCACUCUUUGGACGUCGACCGGCGCACGGGUGAGUAACGCGUAUCCAACCUUCCCAUUACUGUGGGAUAACCUGCCGAAAGGCAGACUAAUACCGCAUAGUCUUCGAUGACGGCAUCAGAUUUGAAGUAAAGAUUUAUCGGUAAUGGAUGGGGAUGCGUCUGAUUAGCUUGUCGGCGGGGUAACGGCCCACCAAGGCGACGAUCAGUAGGGGUUCUGAGAGGAAGGUCCCCCACAUUGGAACUGAGACACGGUCCAAACUCCUACGGGAGGCAGCAGUGAGGAAUAUUGGUCAAUGGACGGAAGUCUGAACCAGCCAAGUAGCGUGCAGGAUGACGGCCCUAUGGGUUGUAAACUGCUUUUGUAUGGGGAUAAAGUUAGGGACGUGUCCCUAUUUGCAGGUACCAUA